Molecule: long non-coding RNA, 2177 nt
Organism: Doryrhamphus excisus (bluestripe pipefish)
Lineage: Eukaryota; Metazoa; Chordata; Actinopteri; Syngnathiformes; Syngnathidae
Source: RefSeq, a predicted model, not a curated record
UGAGAUCAUAUUUCUCCUCUCUUGUAGAGAAGUAUUGGAUCUCUGUUCUCUGUAGGCGGCAUUAUGAAUUAUCCUUACAUUAGAUACAUAAGGCAUCAAACAGUCUGCCUUUACAAAGAAUGCCACUCUUAACCUUUGCAAAAAUAAUAAGCUGUACACACAUGCUCUAGUGUGAAUGCUGUCAUUAAAGAAAUGAAAAAUGCUCCAUCUCAACUGAAAAAAAUGAAUUGAUAAAUUACCGGAGUGUUGCUGCUCUGCAGGUUUUGAGACCAAAUUUCAACAAUGGCCUCCUCCAUCGUACAAAGAGCUUCCCCAAAGAUGAGCUGCAGCUUCUCUGCUUGCUUGUCAAAGUGGAAAAGGACGAGCGCCUUGAGCAGCGCCUGCACCUCCUCUGCAACGGAGGAGGACAACAAUCAGCUUGGCAUCGCUGAUGGAGCCUUCAGACAAAGAGCAGGGUAUAGUGACGAGCGUUCACCUCGCAUCUUGUCCACUGUGGUGAUGAUCUCUCCGAGUGCGAACAUCAGAGCUCUGUCCUCCAUCGGACUUCCUUCUUUCAGACUCAGCUUCUUCCUCUCAGCCUUGCGCCGGUUCUUUGACGACCUCCUGCGUCAUACAAGGUCACGUUCAAGAACUUUCAUCAGCAGUUUUGGCACUAAAUCAUUACAUAUGUACAUCAUUACCACUUUAAAAUACUCCUUUGCCUUAUCACUGCAAGAUGUAAAUGAUAGCAUUGUGCUUUACAAAGAAAAUCUAUAACCACGUGACAUUGCUCUCUCCUCCAAUUGGUCAGGCACACCGAUGCAAACAGGAAAAGGUAGGAGUGAAGCAACACAAAUAUUAUAUAUCUAUAUUACUCUAUAUAUUAAUUUUCAGACAUUAACACGUUAGCCAGCUAACCGACAAGAGCACGUUAAAAGGACAUCGCGAACAACAUUUAUCCACCAAGCGAACGCGACUUCGACUGAGCAUGUUAGCUAGCAAGACAGCGGUCAACCGGAAGUUUUUUCCCCUCAGCGUGGGAAUGACAUUUUGCGCUCUUAACGUGAACUCGUAUGUUUUAUUCAAAUCAUACGGACUCGUGCCAACAUAUUCAUACAUUUCAAAGUUAUAGUUAAUUAGCGUACUGCUGCGAGCCUCUUUCCGUUUACAUUCUUGCGCCUUGUCGCUGACCAAUAGGAGAAGAGAGCGAUAUCACGUGGCUUGCGUGAUGCAUUUUGGUACGCCGGGAUUUUUUUUUAACCGUUUCAACAAGCGAGUUAACCCUUUUUUUACUCAAUAUCUCACUUAAAGAUAUGAUUUUUUUUUAUCAAUGAAUGUAAGAAGUAUGUUUUCUUACGAGGAGAUGCGUGAGUUACUGUGGGAGUACUUGGAGGAUGUCAUCACACUGCUCGCCUCAGAGUAAAGCUCAGCGUCCGCACAGUCUGGACCAUCCUCAUCUUUAAGGCAAGAGAGGAUAUUUGGAUGUUACCAUGGCAACUACACAUCUAGUUAUAGACUUGGCAUUUUUUUUUCCCCCUCACCAAGCAAGCUCAGCCUGGCCUUCUCUUUUUGCUCCCGCACCAACGCCAGUCGGGUCCUGUGUCGCAUGAAGGUGGCUACCUGUGUCUCCACAAAGAGCAUCUGAGUGCUGGCCGCUGACACACAGAAAAAAAAGAAAAGUUAGUUUCUGUGACAAUGGAGGAGAAUCCAAAAAGGUUCAUUUCACCAACCAAUCGGAGCGCCUCCUCCCAGGCCGCGCCAGUGAUCAGAGCCAAGAUGGCCUCCUCGCAGUCCUAGGUCGCCAUGAGAACCACGGUUAAUAACGGCACUCUGAUUCAGCACAAGAGCUCAAAAGGGGAAGAAGAUUGCUGGAGGUCAAAGAAAGAUCCUAAGAUGGAGAUCUUUGGUGCCAUUUGUAAUUGUUUGGCCCUUGUUUGCCUUGUCAAUCAAUGUCAUAAUAGUUGUUCUUACUUUGGCGUACUGGUCCAGUAGCAUUGCCGCCUCCACAGGGCGCCGCUGUUCAGUCAGCUUCCCUUUAAAAUGAGGAACGAUAUAAGUUUUUAAAAAAUUAAAUAAAUAAAUAAACACUACCUGUUGCCUUGGUUACCUGCCAGGUCUCUGGCCAGCAGAGCCAACUGGUCUGGAGGCAGCGGGAUCUGCUGGGCCACACAGAUGGCGUUCCUCCAGCUGCCGCAGCU